GAUGAACGCUGGCGGCGUGCCUAAUACAUGCGAGUCGAGCGAACAGAUGAGGAGCUUGCUCCUCUGACGUUAGCGGCGGACGGGUGAGUAACACGUGGAUAACCUACCUAUAAGACGGGGAUAACUUCGGGAAACCGGAGCUAAUACCGGAGAAUAUAUUGAACCGCAUGGUUCAAUAGUGAAAGACGGUGUUGCUGUCACUUAUAGAUGGAUCCGCGCCGCAUUAGCUAGUUGGUAAGGUAACGGCUUACCAAGGCAACGAUGCGUAGCCGACCUGAGAGGGGGAUCGCCCACACGGGAACUGAGACACGGUCCAGACUCCUACGGGAGGCAGCAGUAGGGAAUCUUCCGCAAUGGGCGAAAGCCUGACGGAGCAACGCCGCGUGAGUGAUGAAGGUCUUCGGAUCGUAAAACUCUGUUAUUAGGGAAGAACAAAUGUGUAAGUAAAUAUGCACGUCUUGACGGUACCUAAUCAGAAAGCCACGGCUAACUACGUG
RNAcentral lists this ribosomal RNA (497 nucleotides) under uncultured bacterium. RNAcentral's name for it is "partial 16S ribosomal RNA". It matches the Rfam family "Bacterial small subunit ribosomal RNA", at positions 28 to 507 of the family's 1533-position model. The record is from RNAcentral.